Molecule: long non-coding RNA, 292 nt
Organism: Diorhabda carinulata
Lineage: Eukaryota; Metazoa; Arthropoda; Insecta; Coleoptera; Chrysomelidae
Exons: 2
Source: RefSeq, a predicted model, not a curated record
GAAUCACCUGUCAUGAGUCGAAAAUGUUUCUUUGCAUUUUCCAAAGGGUUAUUAGGGAAUUCCAUAAUUUGAGACUAUCACGCCGAUGUAACUUGGACAUAUUUUAAAUCAAAUCUUUUCGUAUAAAGUAGAUUGUAAAUUAAUUGAAGUUGAAAACCUCAAAUUUUUUAAAAGCGAGUGAAAAUUGUAGGUACCGUAGAAAGAGCGUAACAUUUUUUGACACAAAUUAUCGAAUGUAAGACUUCUUUUCUAAUUAAUUAUGUAGACUUUAAUAAAUACGAGUAGUAUCAAA